This 253-nucleotide ribosomal RNA is filed under the name uncultured bacterium. RNAcentral describes it as "partial 16S ribosomal RNA". It matches the Rfam family "Bacterial small subunit ribosomal RNA", at positions 524 to 776 of the family's 1533-position model. The record is from RNAcentral.
UACGUAGGUGGCAAGCGUUAUCCGGAAUUAUUGGGCGUAAAGAGCGCGCAGGUGGUUAAUUAAGUUUGAUGUGAAAGCCCACGGCUUAACCGUGGAGGGUCAUUGGAAACUGGUUGACUUGAGUGCAGAAGAGGGAAGUGGAAUUCCAUGUGUAGCGGUGAAAUGCGUAGAGAUAUGGAGGAACACCAGUGGCGAAGGCGGCUUCCUGGUCUGCAACUGACACUGAGGCGCGAAAGCGUGGGGAGCAAACAGG